GGAGUUGUGGCUCAGUGGUAGAGUGUUCGCCUAGCACGUGUGAGGCCCUGGGUUCCAUCCUCAGCACCA
RNAcentral lists this transfer RNA (69 nucleotides) under Ictidomys tridecemlineatus (thirteen-lined ground squirrel). Its description in RNAcentral is "Spermophilus tridecemlineatus (thirteen-lined ground squirrel) tRNA". It matches the Rfam family "tRNA". Rfam says of the family: Transfer RNA (tRNA) molecules are approximately 80 nucleotides in length. Their secondary structure includes four short double-helical elements and three loops (D, anti-codon, and T loops). Lineage: Eukaryota; Metazoa; Chordata; Mammalia; Rodentia; Sciuridae. The record is from Rfam by way of RNAcentral.